UGGGGAAUUUUGGACAAUGGGGGAAACCCUGAUCCAGCCAUCCCGCGUGUGCGAUGAAGGCCUUCGGGUUGUAAAGCACUUUUGGCAGGAAAGAAAACGUCGCGGGUUAAUACCCCGCGAAACUGACGGUACCUGCCAGAAUAAGCACCGGCUAACUACGUGCCAGCAGCCGCGGUAAUACGGUAGGGUGCAAGCGUUAAUCGGAAUUACUGGGCGUAAAGCGUGCGCAGGCGGUUCGGAAAGAAAGAUGUGAAAUCCCAGAGCUUAACUUUGGAACUGCAUUUUUAACUACCGGGCUAGAGUGUGUCAGAGGGAGGUGGAAUUCCGCGUGUAGCAGUGAAAUGCGUAGAUAUGCGGAGGAACACCGAUGGCGAAGGCAGCCUCCUGGGAUAACACUGACGCUCAUGCACGAAAAGCGUGGGGAGCAAACAGGAUUAGAUACCCUGGUAGUCCACGCCCUAAAACGAUGUCAACUAAGCUGUUGGGGGCCUUCGGGCCGUUGGUAGCGCAGCUAACGCGUGAAGUUGACCGCCUGGGGAGUACGGUCGCAAGAUUAAAAACUU
This 563-nucleotide ribosomal RNA is filed under the name uncultured bacterium. Its description in RNAcentral is "partial 16S ribosomal RNA". It matches the Rfam family "Bacterial small subunit ribosomal RNA", at positions 355 to 902 of the family's 1533-position model. The record is from RNAcentral.